Non-coding RNA from Benincasa hispida (wax gourd), 2941 nucleotides. The record is from RefSeq and is a predicted model, not a curated record. Lineage: Eukaryota; Viridiplantae; Streptophyta; Magnoliopsida; Cucurbitales; Cucurbitaceae.
CGUUGGAUUAUAGGGAGGGGAUAAAAUUGGAAAAUUAAAUAGAGAAGAUGAAUUCUACGCAUCACGUUUUGGCCAUAAAUCGUAGGAUUCAAAUAAAGGCUAUUUUUUUUUUUAAUUGGAUAUCUGAUUUGGGUCAUUCUCCACAAUUUCUCUAAAAACAAACAUACAAAAUUUCAACAAAAGACUUUAUUUGAGGCCCAGCAGCGGCCCACAGUCAGCAAUCCAGUGGCGGGAGGUCAAAGACGGCGAGAAAUCCACUGACGGAGUACCUGAUCAAGGCUCCACCCGCCGGAACCUUCGUCUUUGUCACUUUUCCACAUCUGGAAGCUCAUCCUCUAUCCUUCGCUCCUUUCGCGGUUCAAUUCAACGUAAAAUAUGCGGAGAGUGGAUGCAGAGACAAGCGGGGGACGAAAGAUGUUUGAAGAAAUGGGCGUAUUAUUGGCUCAGAAGCUGGAAGUUUGUCGUAGCUUGGUUCACUUUCGGCAUGUGGCCAGCACACGCUGGUUGUUGCUUGUAUCAGAAGAUUACGAACCAUUUCAGUUCUGUUGGGCAUAAAGGGCAGACGAAAUUUGCACAAAGGGGGAGGGACAAAUAAUUGGAAAGAAAGAAAGUUUAUUAGAAAAGUAGAAAGAUAGACAUUUUUAGAGGAAAGUCUCUCACACUCUCUAGUCCUUAAUAUCAUAUAUAAUUCCUUGAAAAUCUAUUGAAUUCUCCAAUACCUUGUGUUAGAACUUAGGACAUGUUUUACAGUCUUUCUUUAUUUGCUCUGUUUUUACUAAUUUCAGCUAUUUAAGAUUUAUUUUUCUGUUAUUCUCCGUCAAAGUAUUAUUGAGAUACAAGGCUUAAUAUCCUCUCUUAAAUGUUGAACAAAUUGGCACAAAAGGAAAAGAGAGAUAAUCACUUGGGAAAGAGGAACUUUUAUUAAGCAAGUACAAAUAGGGACAUCAAAAACCUUUUCACUCUCUCAAUACUCACUCGCUCACUUUCCCAUUAUUUCUAAGUUUCUCUAACUUUCUUUAACAUCCUAUAGUCCGACUUAUAAAUGGAGACACAACUCCUUUUUAUAGGGUAUGAGAUCCGUAGGGUCCAAGUAAAAGGAUUUUUCUAGAUCCUUUUUAGAUUCUAAAAUAUCCUAGUCUAGAUAUUUCUAAGAAACUUAUCCUUAUUUAAAGGAAUUCAUAGAAUUCCAUGGAUCCUAAAGAAAUGCUAAGAUUUUUCUAGAGCCUUUGUUUGAGGUACUUAUUUACACACUUCAACGUAGUUAUAGAAAAAUCUAAUUUGUAUCUGUGUCAUCUUUUAGAUACUCCAAGAAGCUUUCAGAUUGUUGGUGUUGCCUUUUAGUGUAACAUUAAAUAUCAACGAUGGCAACAAUGCUCUGUUGAGAGCUCCUUUUUCAUCUUCCUUUCCUCCAUUAUCUUGCCUCCACUAUUCAUUACAAUUUCACUUUGAAGUCCAAAGAAAGGUCAACUAAUUGUUUAAGUAAUCCAGUCGGUUUCAGGCUAUGCAUAUAGAAGUUGGACGAAACUUGCUGAAGUAGAACGAAUGCAAAUCAGCUCCAUGAUUACUGCAAAUCUGAGCUAAUUCUUGCACUGCCGAGUUUUAAGUGCAUUUGUAGACCAAAUUAUGAUAAGGAAAGGCAUUGAAGGUCUCUCACGAGUGGCUAGAUAGCAUGAUUACUUCUUGAUCCUAAUUCAAAUGUCGAAGUUGUCCCUCAAUUUCCAGGCAGCUAUAGGAGGAUGAAACGCCAAAUUUGAGUCCUAAUCUGUUUGCCUAUCUAUGUAAACUGGAUCAUGGAGCUCUCUCAGUAAAACUUUGCCCGCUUCACUAUUUCAGUUACACUGUGUGAAAGGAUGUUUAGGGAGAUGUCCUUUCAAUAUGAAGUUUUUAUGUUUUGAGAUGUUUAAGUUUUUGCUUCCUAUAUAAAUUAAUUUGGCCCGAUAAAUAAUAGGUUGAUGCUCUAUUAUUAUAUCAAAGAAUUAAAUGUUGUUGCCUGGCACGUGAUAUAUUUUUAUUUUUAUGCUGUCGAUGAUAUCAUCCUUCACCAGUGUUCAAGGAAUUAUGUAAAUUAUUUACCAGUCAAGAUUUAUACUUGUCAUUGUCCCAGAGUUCUGGCAUGCAGGAAGGAGUAAUCUGUAAUCUCAGUUUAAGGUGUAAAAAUAAAAGGUUAAAUCGGUUGAUGUCGGAAGAAUUUAUUGGAGCCAAGCAUCCAAUAUCUCCCUCUCCUCCCUCUCCAACCCCAUCUCCACACCGCUAUUUUUAUCUGAAUCAAGGUACACUGAGUUUAAAAGUGAAGAGCAACUCCUUAAAAGGCAAGAAAGAAACCCAUCACAAGGCUUAUUUUGAAGGCAAACCCCAAGAAAUUAUUGCCACUUUCGUCGUACUUUUAUAUAGAUGGAAACAGUAAAUUGGAUUGAAAUUUCCAGGCAACCCGGAAUGGACUGGCCUUCAUAAUGGUACCCUAAACCUACAUACUCGCUAAAUCUUAAACGACUAGGAUUGGAAGCAAUCUAAAAAUAUGUUUUGAAUGAUUCAAAGUCAAUUUAAGAGAGUAAAAUUAAACAGACACAAUUUCUACCAUUCAAAAUUACUUGAAACAAAGAAUGAUCUAAGGAUUCAUGUUUUCAGUUCCAUGUUUGCCUACUACACGCAGUGUCCAAUUCUCUACAAAUUGCUGAAUCACUGCAGAAAUCAUAUAUAUGUGAACAGAACCAAUAGCCUACCUGUGAAGGAACACACUUGAAUCUUUCAACAACCAAACUUGCAGAAUAACAAAUUAUACGAGCAUAUGUAACUGAUAUUCUUCAUGUUCCAUUAUCCAGAUGACACAAUUAAGAACCAAAAAGGAAAAGCAAUCUUAAUUGACGAUAUAAUGGCCUAAACAUUCUAUAGCUAUGAAUUGAUUUAGGCCUUCAUAAACCCACCCCACAAACUUGCCAGAGAC